AGAAGGAGACUCCUCCGUUCUACGGAUGCGACAGAUGCAUACCUCAAGUCUCUGGUUGUACGCGAACCUCCAAGGCUGACAAAACAGAAUGAGGGUACCUGUAUCUGCACAACAAAAGUGUGCAGAAGAGUAGAAUGAGCGCACCACAGCGGUGCCCAAUAAGUAUCAAGACAAACCGAGAUGGAGUAGUAACGAGGGACAGUCAAGACAUCUGCCGGUCCAUAAACAGUACAAUCAUAGGGAUAAUACAAAUGAUAUAAAAUUAUAUAAAGACAGCAUGAAUGACUAAAAGAGCUACAAUCAUAAUAAAACUAAACGGACAAUAAGUAACAACGAGAAAUACACAAAUGAUGAUAAUAAAAGGACGGUAGACAUUACAGUCCAAAUCAUGAAGUCACAGCACAACAAGGACAGACAAGUUACUAACUCAUUAUUCUGCACUGCUCUUACAUAAGGUAUUCCAACUUUUGCCACAAUUCCACCACAACUCUCAUACCAGCCACAACCCAUAAAAACCCAAUAUCCGAGGUAUAACACUUGGCAUCUUGUGCCCCAUCAAUAGCACAGUCAUGUUGACAACUGACUAGUCAACUAGAGUCACUCUCACAUAUAAAAUGGGUAAACGAGGGCACAUCCCCAACCCUAGCCAAAUCAAGAUAGAUUCAUACCUAAUAGGAGGGUCCAACUACGUGUAUGCUUGUCCAAGUGUAUCUAACAGGAAUCCUACCAACCAGUAAAUAUAAGAAAUGGAAUGACUAGCACCCGAUUUAUUCACACUCGGGUAGAAUCAAUGAAAAUAUCAGUUCAUGACACAAUGAGUUUAACGGGGAUCUUCUAGGAUUUCGUCAUGUAGUCUCAAACAUAAACAUGUGCUAGGGAUCUCUUGGUAUCCUCAAUAGAUGUUCUGGGGAUCUCUUGGUAUCCCGAGGAUCUACUGAUAUCCUUAAUAUAUAUUCUAGUGAUCACUUGGUGUGCCGAGGAUCCCUUGGUAUCCUCAAUAGAUGUACUAGGGGUCUCUUGGUAUCCUGAGGAUCUCUUGGUAUCCUCACUAUAUAUGCUAGGGAUCUCUUGGUAUCCCGAGGAUCUCUUGGUAUCCCCAAUAGAUGCACUGGGGAUCUCUUUGUAUCCCGAGGAUCUCUUGGUAUCCUCAAUAUAUAUCCUAGGGAUCUCUUGGUAUCUUGAGGAUCUCUUGGUAUCUUCAAUAGAUGUAUUGGAACCUCUUAGUAACCCGAGGAUCUCUUGGUAUCUUCAAUAUAUAUGCUAGGGAUCUCUUGGUAUCCCGAGGAUCUCUUGGUAUCCUCAAUAGAUGUACUGGGGAUAUCUUGGUAUCCCGAGGAUCUCUUGGUAUCCUCAAUAUAUACGUUGGGGAUUUCCUGGUAUCCCGCAAUACAAAAUAAUCAACAUAGAUGUACAGUCCAAACAAUAGAAUAGUAAAUAUCCCAGUGAAGGAGUCGACAAUGGAAGACAAUAACAUCCCGGCAAGGGAGUCAAUAGUAGAAAAUAAUAACAUCCCGUCAAGGGAAUCAACAAGAGCUAGUAAGGUCACGGAAACACCAAGAAAAACAAAAUAAUCUUAACGAUAAAACAAGACACAAUAAGCACAUAAUAGCUACACCGAUACUAUAACAAUUGGACAUGUAAUAUAUUUGUACGAACAUAUGAACUUACAAUCAAGGUGCACCCAAUAGUAAGGAAGUUAACAUGAAUCAAAAAUUAAAAAUUUAAGGAAGUAUCAACUAAUUAUAUGAUAUCCAUCCUUUUUUCAAAUAAUACCGAUUAAUUACCUAAGAUAUAACAUUUAUGAUUUCCAAUUAAAGACGAGUAGUUAGAAUGGAUAAUAUGACUAUAGAAAGGGUGAUUAUCUUCAAUUAAACACGUAAGAAGUCAAUUAAACAACAAGAAUAAAUCAAGAAGAGCAAACAAUACCAAGUAAGAUAUGUAGAGGGGAAACUAAUAACAUGGAACUCAAUUGUAUCAAUAUCUUCUUCAAACUCAAUGAUUUCAAGAGUCUAAGGGUCUAAAAAGGGACAAUUUACCACAAAUAAAUUCGAUCACGCACUCGUCACCUCGCGUACACAGAAUGCAAUCAACAGAGAAGACUCAAAUCCUAAGGGAAAGUCCCUCCACACAAGGUUAGGCAAGACACUUACCUCAAACCGGCUAAAAUCAACUAGCAACCGCGUUCUUGCCAUGAGUUCUUGACUCCAAAUGGCCCAAAUCUAUUCAAUGAAAUCAUACAUUACAAUUAACAUCUCAAGCAACUAAUUCUAUAAUUUAAUUCAAAGCUAAAGAGCGAAAUCAGGUAAAAUAACCAAAAUACCCCUUUGUCCAAUGUCUCGGAACCGGAUGAAUUUAACAUUUUUAGAACCCUCGUAUUUUCAUGAGUCUAACUAUAUAGAAAUCUCUCAAAUCAGAGGUCAAUCACUCCCUCAAAACCCAAUAAUUCGGUCUAUGAAGUUCUACCCAUUUUUCAUUCAAAACUGAGAUUAAAGGAUGAAAUUAAGAGGAGAUUCAUGGGAGUUGGUCUAAAUCGAAUGAAAAUCACUUACCCAAGUUGCCCAGGUGGAUAUCCCUUCAAAAAUUACCAAGAACCGAGCUCCAUAAGUCAAAUAUGCGAAAUAAUGGUGAAACCCUCGAAAUUGGGAUUUAAAUCUGUACGCCAGUUAUUUGUUCUAUGUGAUCAAAGAGUAUGGGUUACGAUCACAUAGAGGAGCUUGAGAGGGCCCGGACUUUGUGCACUGUGUUCGCGUAAAAAAGGGAUGCGAACGUGGAGGGUUGAGAUGAUGGCGUAUGUGAUCACAGAGCGUACAAUGCGAAUGCAUUGAAGGAAAUAUGGGGGGACCAGUAAUUGGUCUAUACAAACACGGAAUGCAUAAUGCGAAUGCGAAGAAGGCCAAGAUAAGCCUAUGCGAUCGUGGAGGCCUGAUCGCGAUCGCAUAGAAGGUGUAACAGAAGCAGCAACAACAAUCCAAAAGCAAGGGGAAAUGACAUGUAGCCCAUGCAGAACACACCCGAGGCUCCUGGGACCUCGUCUAGUCACACACACAAGUCAUGUAACCUAACACGGACUCGCUCAAAGUUCCAAAUCAAAUAAAACAACAUUGAAAUGAUGAAUCGAACCAAAAAUCAAGCUAAUGAACUUUCGAAUCUUCAAAUAACGAAUCCCAUGCCGAAACCUAUCAAUUUAACUCGGAAUGAUGACAAAUUUUGCAGACAAGUUGAACAUGACAUAAUGGAUCUGUUCCAACUCUCGGAAUAACAUACUGACCCCGAUUUCCCAAAAGUCAAAUGUGGGUCAAACCUUUUCAUUUUCCAACUUCAUCUUUCGUUGAAAUGCCUCAAUAUACUCUACAGACCUCCAAAUCUGAAUCCGGAUGAUCACCUAAGUUCAAAAUCACCAUACGAAGCUGUUGAGAUCAUCUCGUUUACCCAAAAGUUCAGUUCCGGUUAAAUUUCUACCGUUCUAACUUCCAAAAAGGUUUCUUUACUAAAAUUGACUCUAAACCAUCCGAAAACCGAAUUCCACCAUGCACGCAAGUUGAUACUCAUGAUCUGAAGCUGCUCCCGACUUUAUACCGUUGAACGAAGUUUAAUUUCUCAAAACAACCGGUCGAAUCGUUACAUUCAUGAUAUGAGAAAAUUUUCAUUGUUGAAAUCAUGGGAGAGCUUAUCUGUCAUGGCAUAAUAUAUUAAUACAUACCAUAAAAUAAAAAAUAAUAAUUUCAUGUAUAUAUAUAUAUAUAUAUUAAAGGAAAAUAUUAUAUGUUACUACUAAUAAUUACUUAAAUGAUUAAAGAGAGGGGAAGAAACUAGUUCUGAGUUUAACGUCGCCGGCUCGACUUUUUUUAAAAAUUAGGCAAAAAGGAUUGUUAAAGCAUGUUUGUCGAAGAGUCUACUGAUAUAAGGCUUCAAACGAUGACCGUUUACUUUGAAUUUGCUCCCCCAUCUACAUGUUGUACUUCAAUUGCACCAUAGGGGGUCACUCAUGUUACUGUAUAUGGUCCUGUCCAGCGUGACUUAAACUUUUUUUGAAAAUAAUCUCAAUCGACUAUUAUACAACAGAACAUGAUCUCCAACUUUAAAAUCUUUAUGGCAGAUGAGCCUGUCAUGCCCUUUUUUAUCUUUUCCUUGUACAAUUUAACACUUUUAUAUGCUGUAAGCUUGAACUCUUCCAACUCAUCAAGCUGCAAUAGACGAUUUUACCUGCAUCUAGCAAGCUUAGAUUCAACAAUUUUAUAGCCCAAUAUGCUUUAUGUCCUAAUUCUACAGGUAAAUGACAAGUUUUUCCAAAACACUAGUCUAUGAGGAGAUGUACCUAUGAGAGUUUUGAAAGCAGUUAUGUAUGCCCAUAAAGCGUCAUCUAACCUUAGAGCCCCAUAAUUUUGCAUUUUUUGGCGAGGCUCAUCUCAUUUUUAUUAUUUAAAAGGAUAAACCUUAGGCAACUACAUAUUUCUACUUUGCGAGGGCCAUAAAAAAUUCAACCAAUGACACACUUCGAUUUCUAAAGAGUUUUAUUAAUAAAAUCAAGUAUAACGGCAAUGAGCGCAUUUAAAAACGACAAUUAGAUACACUUACUAAAUAGCUUAUAUCCGCCACCCCAUACAAUUAUCACGUGCCACCUAAUUUUGACUAACCAAACCCCAAAAAUAUCAUAGAAAAUAUUUUCUAAACUAAAAUAUGCAUACAUUUUCCCACAUAGCUAACUCACAAGAUUUGGACAAAGGGAACCAUGGAGGAUGAUUAUACUAAUUCAAAUUAAGUGAAGCUUUUGACAGAUAAUUAAGUAAAGCCCCCAAUCAAUAAUAAUAAAUUUGCAUCAUAGUUUACUUAAUACAACGGCAAUCAUGCGUUUCCAGCAAAUCCGAGCCCCAAAACGUUAACACACAAUUUGAGUAGUAGGCUAUUUCCAAAUCAGUUCUCCAAUGUAUACAAUGUUAACACUGGAAAGUCAAAUAAUUAGAGCAAUUGUAAUAUGCAAGCUAAACACAAAAUUAGUCAUUGCUCUGAGAACAAAACCCGAACAAAAAUGCAACUUAACAAAAUCUCAAUAUUUAUCAACACCUCAACUGACGGACGAAUUGAUCUUAAAUGAAUGGAUAAGCAGCGACAAAAAUGUUAAACAAUAACACAAGAAAUGAUUGAAUCAUGUUUAUCUAUGUCGAGCAAAUGUACAGAGCAUAAAAAUGAUUUCAAAGAAAUUAUUGCAACGAGAAAAGGAACGGACCUCGAAACAAAGUCAUUUUCGAAUCUGAAAAUACUUAACACUGGAAACCUUAGGCAGAGGCAAACUCGACGGACCUUAGACAACGACCUCCGGCAAACUCGAGCGGCGAAUCCAACAAACAGAACCUCGAUGGCAGCCACGAACACCCGUAUUCUCGUGUUUUCAAAUUCCGUCGAGCCAGUAUUGAAUAUUUCUUUACCCAGGAUAUGCGUGCGUGUGUGUGUGCAUUGGGUUGCAUCAAUGGCUGACGAGAUGAAGCAGCAGUAGCUGGUGGGUCUGCUGACCAGAAAACUGCUGCUGGUGCGUUUGUUUCUACCGAAUUUCCGGCGAGCUCGCUGGUGAGAUGGUUAUCGUGAAGGAGUCAUUUGUUAAGGGAGAUGGGGUGCUGAGUUUGACAUGAAGAAAGGCGAGGUAGUUGGUGGUUUGUUCAGGAGAUGGCUGCUACGGCUGGUUGACGACGCAGCAUUCGGUUCGGUGAAGAAGAUGAAGCACGACGAAGGCUGGUCGUGGGGGACAAUUUUCGGUUGCUGAUGGGCGGGGGUUAUGGUGAUGCUAUGGUUUUUCCAUGUUAGUUCUUUAAGGUUUUUUAGUUGGAGAAGAUGAAGUCAUCUUCAUUGUAUCUAAGGUCUAAGGUGUAAGGGUCUGUCCAAGCUCUCCGGGCCUCUUACGGCUGAUGCUUAAGGUUAGUUUUAUAGGUAGAGUAUUAGGGUAGGUUAGUUUUAGGGUUUUAGGGUAUUGGCCUUGGGUUAUCAGAAUUUUUGGCCUAAAAAUAGGUCAUUUGAACCCAAAUAUUAUUCUUUCCCCAAUAAAUACGACCUUAUUUAACUAAUUUUACGUAAGCAAAAUAACUAUAAAAAUAGGACUAACAAUUAAAACAAAACUAUUUUUGUUAUUUUUUCAAGAUAAAAAUGACUACAAAACAUUAACGAAACUAUUUUUUGUAAUUUUCGUUUUUAUAUAGAGAUAAAAAUAUAAAGUAUUAUUUUUGGUAUUUUUUCAAGAUUAAAAUUACCACAAAACAUUAAUGAAACUAUUUAUUUUUGUAUUUUCGAAAUUAUACAAAGAUACAAUAUAAAGUACUAUUUUUAUAUUUUUAAAGAUUAAACUGAUUAUAAAACAUUAAUGAAACUAUUUUUGUAUUUUUGAAAUUAUACAAACAUAAAAAUAAGGUACUAUAUUUUUUUAUUUUUUAAAGAUUAUAUAAAAAAUAAAAUAGGCCAAAAGGAACACACAUCUUCCUAAAAAUAUCUAAUACAUGAUUAAAAUAGAGUAAUAUGAAACCAUUUUUAUAUUUUUCCAUUUUGUGAUAAAAAUAAUGUAAAUGAGUUAAAAUUAGCCGAAAUAGCUAUAUUUGGCCUAAAUUUAUUUUACGCCAAAAAUAUAAAACAUCAUGUGGACGGUCAAAAAUCACAGGUCUACAGCUGCCCCUCUUUGACUGGAAACACAACGAGUUCUCGGACAAAGAACGACUAGACAUGUGUUUUGACCCGACCCUUAUUCGGAGAGAUUAAAACUAAGAGAAAAGGAAGAGAAUGUGAUCGGGCCCUGGUACUCUGAGCUGCCUAUAUAUCCUUGGCUAUAAAGGAAUCAGGCCACGUGUAGUUCAGAAGUAAGUGAGAUGACUGAGUAUACCGAGGUGAAGAGCUGAUCGAGGUGCCAUUCCGUCAAGGUUCCGGUCUGUGGUGUUGCUAUUAAAUAAAAAAUCAAAACACGAAAAAGACUAAAUAAGCACAUCAACUACUAGUUACAAGGUUCCUAUCUAUUAGUCUUAGGAAGCUUGAUCUCGAGUAUUGAAUGGUGCUUCAUGCGGACUCUGAUCUGAAUUUUGAUGCUUGUUAGCUGCAGGUGAUGGUUCAAUCUUCUUCAGCUUUUCAAAAUUAAGACCGGAUAUGCAGUGCAUGUGAUCUCAAUUAUGUCAUGAGCAGACUACAUCUUCUCCACUUCUGCACUUUGAAUUCACUUUUUUUCUCUUUUUCUUUCUUUUUCUUUAUUGUAACUGACUUUUGUUGAUCAUCUCAGUCAGUUGACUCGCAUUCUUGCCGCGAGCUUCUGCUACUUCUAACUUGGAUUUAAUGUUGGGGAUUUUAUUUUCGUAACCCUCCGUUCUCCAGGCGGGAUCCUACAACCAAAACAAACAAAACAAACGAUUUUUCCUACCCAGUUUGCACUAGGAAAAUUUGUGAGUCGUUAGCAAAAUUCUAAACCACUUAUACUACUGAUGCAAUGAUGAGUGUAAACUAAGGACUAGACUAGGAUUUGUGUAUCCUACGAGUAAAACCAAAAAAACUAUGACUUGCAAAUGAGUAUGCAAAAAAUAAAACCUGAAAUGAACUCAACUUAGGAAGCGUGUCUCCAAUAGAUGAAUUUAAAUGGGCAAGACUAGGAAAUGUGUCUCCUAAGAAUGAAAUACUACUUUAGGAAGUGUGUCUCCUAUGACUGAACUAUUAUUUUAGGAAGUGUACCUCCUAGAGGAAUAACUUGAAAGACCUAAACUAGGAAGUGUGUUUUCUACGAAUGAACUAUUAAUUUAGGAAUUGCGUCUCCUAUGAGUAAAACUUCAAUGAACCAGACUAGAAAGUGUGUCUCAUAUGAUCGAACUUAAAUGACUCAAACUAGGAAGUGCGUAUCCUAUGAAUGAAAUAUUAAUUUAGGAAGUGCGUCUCCUAAAAUAAAACUGUCAAUUUAGGAAGUGUGUCUCCUACGGUAGACUUGGAUUGAACUAAACUAGGAAGUGCGUCUCAUAUGAAUGAACUACUACUUUAGGAAGUGUGUCUCCUAUAGGUGAAAAUAAACUUAGAAAGUGCAUCUCCUAUGGGUGAAAAUAAACUUAGGAAGUGCGUCUCCUAUGGGUAAAAUAAACUUAGGAAGUGUGUCUCCUAUGGGUAAAAAUAAACUUAGGAAGUGCGUCUCCUAGGGGUGAAACCUUAAUGAUCUUAAACUAGGGAGUGUGUCUCCUAUGAAUGAAAUCUUAAUUUAGGGAGUGCGUCUCCUAUAGGUGAAAAUAAACUUAGUAAGUGCAUCUCCUAUGGGUGAAAAUAAACUUAGGAAGUGCGUCUCCUAUGGGUGAAAAUAAACUUAGGAAGUGCGUCUCCUAUGGGUAAAACAUUAAUGAUUUUAAACUAGGAAGUGCGUCUCCUAUGCAUGAAAUCUUAAUUUAGGAAGUGUGUUUCCUAUGCAUGAAAAUAAACUUAGGAAGUGCAUCUCCUAUCGUAAAAUAAACUUAGGAAGUGCGUCUUCUAGGGGUAAAAAUAAACUUAGGAAGCGUCCCUCCUAGGGGUCAAAUAAACUUAAUAAGUGCGUCUCCUAGAGGUAAAAAUAAACUUCGGAAGCGUGUCUCUUAUGGGUGAAACUUUAAUAAUUUUAAACUAGGAAGUGCAUCUCCUGUGAAUGAAAUCUUAAUUUAGGAAGUGCGUCUUUUAUGCAUGAAAAUAAACUUAGGAAGUGCGUCUCCUGGAGGUAAAAAUAAACUUAGGAAGUGCGUUUCCUAGGGGAAAAAAUAAACUUAGGAAGUGCGUCUCCUAUGGGUGAAACAUUAAUAAUUUUAAAAUAGGAAGUGUGUCUCCUAUGAAUGAAAUCUUAAUUUAGGAAGUGCAUCUCCUAUCACAAAAAUAAACUCAAGAAGUGCGUCUCCUAGGGGUAAAAAUAAACUUAGGAAGUGUGUCUCCUAGGGGUAGAAAUAAAAUUAGGAAGUGCAUCUCCUAUGGGUGAAACUAUAAUGAUUUUAAACUAGGAAGUGCGUCUCCUAUGAAUAGAAUCUUAAUUUAGGAAGUGUGUCUCCUAUGCAUGAAAAUAAACUUAGGAAGUGCGUCUCCUAUCGUAAAAUAUUAAGGAUUUAUACUAGGAAGUGCGUCUCCUAUGAAUGAAAUCUUAAUUUAGGAAGUGCAUCUCCUAAGCAUGAAAAUAAGCUUAGGAAGUGCGUCUCCUGAAGGUAAAAUAAACAUAGGAAGUGUGUCUCCUAUAGGUGAAAAUUUAAUUAUUUUAAACUAGGAAGUGUAUCUCCUAUGAAUGAAAUCUUAAUUUAGGAAGUGUGUCUCAUCUACAUGAAAAUAAAAUCAGGAAGUGCAUCUCCUGGGGUGAAAAUAAUCUUAGAAAGUGCGUCUCCUAGGGGUAGAAAUAAACUUAGGAAGUGUGUCUCCUAAGGGUAAAAUAAACUUAGGAAGUGCGUCAUAUGCGUGAACCAUUUCCUUCUUCCUAAAGUACCUUCUUACAUCACUGCUUCCCUUAAGAACUCGUGUUGUCUUUCCUGAAAACUGUUGUGAAUAACACUGAUGGGAAUUAUUUACUUACCUGCUGCGGAUGAUACUGCUGGGGGAUUUUCAUUCCUUCAAAACUGGUGCUUCACUCUUCUGAAGGCUGCUGAGGAUGACACUGGCCUUUUACUUUUUCUGAACACAAGGUUCAUCCUUUUGUUCUGUCCGCUGGGGAACAACUUCCUUCAUUAAAACGUUUUAUGUUGGGCAUAUCAUUGGUUCAAAAACUACUUCCCUUAAGACUUGUUUUGUCCUCCUUCUUCCCCCAAAUGGAUACCUGAUUUCCAGAAAAUUUUCAAAAUGAAAAGAAAAUUUUCUACCAAAUUUGAUAAUGUUUCUUGUGUCAUGCCACUCUGCCAUCAAUGGCAUUUCCCGUCCUGCAUCAAAUCAAAGACAAUUUGUUAGUUUUAAACGUGGUGGUUGGUGUUGAUACUCCUACUGGGGAUGGCUUUUCCUUUUCUCCUCCCCUGCUCUGCGUUCCAUUAAAUUAUCAAACCUUGCUUGGGAUGAUAGUAUUUGCUGGGGAUGAUAUUCUUGCUGGUCUUAGAACGACUUGCCCUGUUUUACGCCGUUCGGUUAUCUUGAAACUUGGGCGAUAAAUUUCGACCUUAUUGUUGAUUCUUUAUUCACCAACCUCUCAACUUUGUUUUCUAUUUGACCAUGUAUCGUUUCCAUGACAGCUUAUUCCCCUUGAGGAUUUUGCAAUGUUUUUCUGAUAAACCACUUUCUUUGUUCAUUCGUUAACCUAAAAACAACCCUUUCUGUUGGGGAUAUCCCUCUUCUUUUGUGGCAUAGCUCAAAAACCGAAAUUUCCCUGACCUUUUAGUCUCAUAUGAAUUUCCCAAAUCAUGCGCAUUGCUCUCUGUGUUGUUCUUUCUUGAUUUGUCCACGAGCCUUGGCCGUGAGGUCAAUAACCUUCAAUUUCGGCGGGGAUAUCCCUCUUGACACUCGUCCAUCCUUUUGUCGGUCUUCUCUUGCUGGGAUAUCUUUCUUGACACUGGCUCGCGCUUGCUCCUUCCUGACUUAGACCAUUUGGAUGUUCUAAUCAGAUCUCUUCUUGCAUAAUUGGAAAGUUGAUGGCAGAUUUUGAAGUCAUUUCUCAAUUGUUCUAACCAAACAGACUUUACUAGGGAAUUUUCUAUGAAAGGAGAAAGAUAAAAAGGAACAGAAUAAACGACAAAGGAAAUACAUGACUCUCUAAAAAGAGAAACUAUAAAAUCAAAACCUAGCAAACGCGGAUACCGACUCUAAUGGUCAUGACAUGCACAUGUGGCCUAUCCGCCGUCGUCAAUCACCUUUCAAGAUCUUCGUUUGGUGAUUCCCCAUCUGAUUCUCACCCUUAUUCUACUUGUAGUGCCCGAAGAUUUUCACUGUCAAGUCUCUCUCAUUUUGGCUUUUCUCUCAGCUUUCAUCGCAUUCACUGAUAAGACUCUCUCAUUUAUAUUAUCUUUCAGUUGGGGAUUGGGGUGUUACCAAUAAUACUCUCUCAUGUAUCUUCUCUGCAGGGGACCGGAGUCUUUUCUGCUGGGGUUGGAGUCUUUUCGUCGGGGAUCAGAGUGCUAUGUUCUGAUAAGACUCUCCCAUUUGCUUGACUUGGCCUCUUUUGAAGACUGGUCGGAAGGUCUUUCUUUGGACUGUAAUGUGGGAUUUGGAUAGGCUAGAAAGAAAGGGUAUUAAAGGCUAAAAAAUGCAUCGAUUUUGGUUUCAAAAUUACAGCCUUCGGAACUAGAUUUAUUUACAACAAGCGCAACGCUUGCCCCAGUUUCCUACUUGAGGAUUUUCUUAAUUUUUGUUACACUAUGACCAAGCCAUGAGACGCCUACAUAUCCUCAUUGAGGAAUCAGGUCGAACGUAGUUCCCAAUUCCUUUGUUUUCUUCCGACUUUCUUUUGUGUUUGUCAUCAUUUUUUUGUUGUUGUUUCCCUUUUUCUUUUUCGUUUUCUUUUCUUUUCUUAUCUUUUUCUGUUUGUUUUUCUACUCUUUGCUACUGAUUCUGAAAGAGGGGCAUAAAAAAUGAUGCUCAAACGGCUAACGAAGGAUAAAGUGUUUGGAUAGCAGAACUAUAUGUCUUCGUCAUUUCAAUCUCCAAAACACGGCAAGUACAAACAACACAAUUAAACAAACCGCCGAAAAUAUUGGCAACAUCUUUUGAUUGCACCAGAUAACCAUAUCCACACAUGGCAUCGUUGGGCAACACUCUCAUUUACAUGCCCCAGUUUCUCAUGGUUUGGGAUUCAAAUGAUCUCAAACCAUUCUUAUCUCCUUUAAAUAUCCCGAUCAACUUCCACUGGUUUUAAGAUUAACUUUUAAAAUUAGGCUCAAACUAUGUGUGCAUGUCAUGUCACUAGAAUCGCCACUGAACAAAACAAAACAAGAGGAUAAAAAAACUAAACAAAGAAAACGAUUGGAAAUAAUAAAAGACAAGAAUUUGCAAUAAACAAACGGUGAAACUAUUGAAACAACAAAACAACCAGUUACAACCCAAAAAGAAACCUAGACAACAUUAAACAAACCACCAUGACUGAAUAAGCUAGACAAAGUGAAAGGAUAAGAGGGUUUGAUUGCAAGACAAUACCCAGAUUACAACCCUGAAUAACCCGGACAACAAAAAUGACAACAAAAUAAACCACCAAAACUCCCCUCUGACUGACCAAGAGAUGAAGUGUCUUUCUAACAAACAAGCACGGCGUCUUAGCCACUGAUUUCCACAUCAUCCACUUCAGUCAACAAGUUCUCAAGAGGAUCCGUGUGCUCCCUGCCACUCUCCUUGAUCACAAUUGCCCCUUCUUUAAUCAUUCUUUCUACUUCCUUUUUCAAAAAACGGAAUCUUCAAUGCUAUGCCUUUGGACAAUAGAGUGGUACAUGCAUCGAACAGCAGGAUCAAAUCCUUUUGCUUAUGGGUCUGCAGUAUAGCCAAUGAGCAGCUCAAUCAGGCCAGAAUGCUUUAACUUUUCAAACAAGCUUGUGUAGGUCUCCCCAAUUGGCGUGAAACUAUUUCUUUGCCUUUGAUUCCCUCCCCGGUCCUGCUUUCUUGGGUUGUUGGGUGCUCGAGAAUGAUAUGAAGGCAAGAAUGCAUUAUGCGGUGCUGGUGCUCACCACAGGGAGUGGCUUGGUGGUUGGAAAGAUGACCAGACAUUGUUCGGAGGAUAAUACUGAGGUGUAUUAUGCAGAGCUCGGGGAUAUGUUUGGGCAUGAUGGACGGAAAAUUGUGGCUCUUGUGGGUAGUAAGGUUGUGGGGGUAUGGAUUGGUAGUAGGGUGAAGGACCUCUAGAUCUGGACCAAGUACCCGCUUCGACUGUUGCGACUUCUUCCCCCCUCUUCUUACCGAGCAUACCUCCCGUGCCGCUCUGUAUGGCCUGAUUUGUUUCCUUAAUUGCCGAAUAGCUCAGGAUUUUGUUAGACUUAAGUCCCUCUUCGAUCAUUCCGCCCAUUUUCACCACCUCGUUGAAAGAUUUGCAAACUGACGUCACCAAGUGACCAAAAUAAGUUGGCUCUAGAGUUUGCAGAAAGUAAUCCACCAUUUCCCCCUCUCUCAUCGGAGUAUCAACUCUUGCUGCUUGUUCUCUCCAUCGUAACCCAAAUUCUCUAAAGCUCUCUCCCGGUUUCUUCUUAAGUUUCAGCAAUGUGAGACGGUCAGGGACUAUCUCAAGGUUGUACUGGAAGUGACCUGCGAAAGCCUGUGCUAGGUCAUCCCAGGUGUACCACCUGCUGGGAUCCUGCCUUGUAUACCAUUCCAGCGUAGACCUGCUUAAACUUUGACCAAAAUAAGCUAUGAGAAGCUCGUCUUUUCCCCCAGCCCCUCUCAUCUUGCUGUAAAAUCCUCGCAGAUGUGCUAUUGGAUCACUGUGCCCCUCGUAUAGAUCAAACUUUGGCAUCUUGAGCCCUGCCGACAAUUGAACAUCGGGGAAAGGACACAGAUCUUUGUAGGCCACGCUGACAUGGCCGCCUAGCUCAUACAUAUUCCUGAAAGAUUGCUCCAUGCUUUUCAUUUUUUGAGGCACUUCAUCCUGCUCAGAACUCUUAGCUGGCUUCUCAGUUUCCGCCGAGAUCUUAAAAUGAGGAUUACAUGUAUGUGGCUCGGGUGCUAUGAAGGUAGGUUCAUGGGGAUAGUAUUGGUUAUCGUGAGGCUGAAACAGCAGCUCACUAGAUGAUCUUUGUUGCAUAGGUGGUGGGGGUGCCACGAAAAUAGGAGCAAUGGGUGGAGGAGGGUUUUGUUUGGGUGGUGGAGCUUGGGGAUCGUAGGCAGUUUCCCCCUGAAAGUAUUGGUGAAUUCGGAAGCUUGUCGAUGGACCAGUCUGAGGGUAUUCCGGCAUCAGUACCGGUGGGAGAGUAGGAGUAGUGGGGUGGACUGGCACUUUUUGCACCCCAGACCAAGCUAAGUGCAUUUCUUUAAUCUUUUGUCUCAACCUAUCUACUUCAUCCUUCAGCAUUUGCGAUUUCCUCCGAGUUAGACAUAUUUUUUGUAUGGGACCUUUAAAUCUUUUUGGUAAUGGUAUGGUGCCAGUACGUUUUAGCAAGCUAACUGUUUGAAACUUCUAUAAAACAACAAACUUGUCAGCGUUGGAGUUUUAACACAUUUGCAAUUGCACGUUGGAAUGUAAUGUACCUAGGCAGUUUAACCAUUUCUAUCAUGUCUUUUUCUUUUCUUUUCUUUUUUUUUGCUUUUUAGUUAUGGUCGAACCGUAUGGAGAUUGCCUACAUAUCAUGACCCUGCAUGAAUCAGAUAUUGUGUAGUUCGGGCAAAUAAAAGGCAAACAACAAUGCAAGAGUUUUUGGAAUUUUUAAUUUUCAAAAUAAAACAAACUUGAUUACAAUGGUUUAAAAACUGGUCAUAAUAACAAAUUUUGAUGAAAAGACAACAUACAGACUCUAAAAUCAAACAACCUGCAUACUCUAAUUAAAAGAAUUUCAACCAACAACAAACGACCAACUCCCUUUCCUUGUUUGCGUUUUCCAACCAAAUGGCUAUUUUUGCAAACGUGGCCCCUUCCCAAUUUCACAUGAAUUUUGAGGCCGGGGAGGAUUAUUUCAUGACAUUAUACAAACUUGUCCAUUCUUCUAUGAAAACAACAUUUCGAUAACUAAAAGAUACUCUAAGGGUAUCUAGGCAAGGACGGUUUAAGACACUGCCGAAGCAGGCUCGGCUUAUUUCGACCCAGAAAUCUAAACGGCAUUCACUUUUCGACUCUUAUUUUUUUCAAAUUAAAAUAAAAGAAUGCAAACACGGCCUUUCAGUGCCUCGGGGAUGAAUAUUUUAAGGCUGUGUGGGUCAACUCGCCAAAAAUUUAAAUAGUGACCCAAAGAUGGUUAUUUAUGCAAAGUCAGUCUUCCAGCAUCCCUUUCGGGAACAUAUGGCUAUUAUGACAAAACAACAUCACCGACUUAUUUACGACUCUUUUCUUGUUUUAUUAAUAGAAAACUCGUUAUUUGAAAACAAGGCCUUUCAGCGCCUUGGGGACGAAGAUUCUAAGGAUGUGUGGGUCAAUCGACCAAAAUCUAAAAUAAAAUAACCAAAGGUGGCCGUUUAUGCGAAGUCAACCUUCCAUCAUACCUUUUGGGAAUAUUCGGCUAUAUUUGACAAAUGCGGUAUCGCCUGACUUAUUUACGACAAACAUUAAAUUUUUUGACACAUUUGUUUUUGCUAUUUUUUACAAAGGGGAAGUUGGACCCGAUAAGGGUUGUCUACGUUUCUCACAACCUCUGAGAAUCAAACCGGCGUAGUUUGCCAAUGAAAAUAAACUACCUUUAAAAACAAAACUCUUUUCUUUUAUUAUUUUUUUGUUUUUGUUUCUUUUCAAAUAAAUCAUCUAAAAACAAUUUUCUUUCUUUUUGUUUUUUUCAAAUUUUUGGCAGAGUUUCGACACUACUUGGGCAUUGAUUUUUCUAAAACUGAGUAAUUAUCUCUCUACACUGCUAUUUUUCUUAUUAUCUUUUUCAAAAAUCUUUUUUUAAAUCUCAAUUUCAAAAGUCGGCCAGCAUGCAAGUCUGAAGCAAAUAAAUGCGUAAAACAAAUAGGAUGCAGCAGGAUGGUCUUUUUUUGUUUCAGGUUGCUUGUCUUAGACGGACCCAACCCCUAUGUUGAGUCCCCUAAGUCAAAUGCAACAUGAUGCAAAUAAACGUUCCUACUAGGGAUCCGGCAUGAAGAUUUGUUAUAUUAGGUUAAAACCUGGAUUUAUUAUUCUAGACCUGGCUUACCUGAGCGGACAACUCGAGCCGAGAAUGGGAACUGUAUCCCGGUAACCAAAAGGACAGCCGGUUUUGGAACUCCACCGAAUCAUUGUUCUAUUUGGGAUAAUGACACUAAUAGAAAGAAGUCACGACCAGCGUCCAUUCCUUAAGAUAGAGAGAAGAGAUGGGUUUCAGCACAAUUUAUGCGUACAGUUCAAAUAAUAUCAAAGGGACAAAGCAAGAUCAUAUAAAAAUAUCAGAUAAUUGACAAAGCCAAACACAACAAUUAUUCUAAGCUCGAAUUUCUAACCCUGAACCGAUGGUUCUAGGUUAAAAUUAUCCCCAGCAGAGUCGCCAGAGGUGUCACACUUCCUUUUUCCGCCACCGCUAGGGCGCAAGGGUUAAGGGAGGUUUUCUAAAUAAAUGACAAUCGAAACGGGGUUUAUUAUUAAGAUUUAGAGUCGCCACUUGGGAGAUUAUGGUGUCCCAAGUCACCGAUUGAAUCCCGAAUCGAGGAAAAUAAUGACUCUAUGUUACAGUCUGCGUACCAGAAAUCCGGAUAAGAAAUUCUGUUAACCCGGGAGAAGGUGUUAGGCACUCCCAAGUUUCGUGGUUCUAGCACGGUCUCUCAACUAUUAUGUUCGGCUUAUUUAUCUGAUUUUAACAAUUAUGUACUUAGUGCAAGUCAUGAUUCUUUUAACCGUUUUUCUUAUUAUUAUUAUUUUAAUAAAGCUAAAGCUUAAAGGGAAUGAAAAAGCCAAAGCUAAAGUAAAAAGUAAAAGUUAAGCCAAAGUAAAAAUUUUGAAGCAAAAGUUAAAGUUAAAGUUAAAGUAAAAGUAAAAGUAAAAGCAAAAGUAAAAAUUAAAGUAAAAGUGAAAGUUAAAGUAAAAGUAAAAGUUAAAGCAAAAGUUAAAGUUAAAACAAAAGUUAAAAUUAUAGCAAAAGUUAAAGCAAAAAGGGUGUUAUUAUUUUAAGAGAGAAUUGCAACGUCGUGAAAACGUAUUUCUAACCACGUCACAACCAGUGUACACGUGGUCGUCGACACAUUUCGACUCCAUUGAGAUUUGGAUUUGGGUCACAUAAAUGUGCAGCCGGAUUUAGGGAGAUAACAUUAUUAAAUACGCGCCUAAGGAUUCUAACGCGUUAUUAUUUUGAGAAUGUCGUGAUAUUCGCUAAACAGCAUGUCCCGCAGUCUAAAUAUUUUUAAUAUAUACAUUUAUGAGUGCCCCGCAACUUGUGAGUUUUAUUUGGCGAAACUUGUCUCAUUUUAUUAUUUAAGAGUAUUUAAACUUAAAAAGCUACUUGUUAUCUACUAUGGCUCAUCUCCAAUAAUAUCAACGACCUACCAGAAACAAGAGUAAUCGAACUACCUUAUUCAAACAAUAUCGGCAACACAUUCCGACUGCGUUAAGACUUGGAUUUGGGCACAUCAAUGUACACCCGGGUUUAAGAAGGUAAUGUAAUUAAAAUACGCACCUAAAGAGUCUAACGCUUUAUUAUUUUGGGGAAGGCCAAUUAGCAAUACGGCACAUCCCGGAGUCUAAGUAUUUUUAAUAUAUACAUUUAUGAGGGCCCCACAAUUUUGCAUUUCUUUUUGCGAGGCUAAUCUCAUUUUUAUUAUUUAAAAGGACAACCUUAAGGCGAUUACGAUUUCUACUUUGCGAGGGCCAUAAAAAAUUCAACCAAUGACACACUUCGAUUUCUAAAGAGUUUUAUUAAUAAAAUCAAGUAUCACGGCAAUGAGCGCAUUUGACAAUGACAAUUAGUUACACUUACUAAAUAGCUUCUAUCCGCCACCCCAUACAAUUAUCACGUGCCUCCUAAUUUUGACUAACCCAAACACCAAAAAUAUCAUAGAAAAUAUUUCCUAAACUAAAAUAUGCAUACAUUUUCUCACAUAGCUAACUCACAAGAUCUGGACAAAGGGAAACAUGGAGGAAGAUGAUACUAAUUCAAAUUAAGUGAAGCUUUGACAAAUAAUUAAGUGAAGCCCUCAAUCAAUAAUAACUAUAAGUUGCAUCAUAGUUUACCUAAUACACCGGCAGUCAUACGUUUCCAGCAAAUUCGAGCCCCAAAACGUCAACACACAAUUUUAGUAGUAGGCUACUAGUUCUCCAAUAUAUACACUGUUAAACACUGGAAAUUCAAAUAACUAGAGCAAUCGUAAUACGUAAGCUAAACACACAAUUAGUCAUUGGUCUAAGAACAAAACCCGAACAAAAAUGCAACUUAAAAAAAUCUCAAUAUUUAUCAACACCUCAACUGAUGGACGAAUUGAUCCUAAAUGAAUGGAUAAGCAACGACUAAAAUGUUAAACAAUAACAAAAGAAAUGACAAAUCAUGAUUAUCUGUGUCGAGCAAAUGUACAGAGCAUAAAAAUGAUUUCAAACAAAUUAUUGCAACGAGAAAAGGAACGGACCUUAAAACAAAGUCAAUUUCGAAUCUGAAAAUACUUAUCACUGGAAACCUUAGGCAGGGGCAAACUCGAUGGACCUCAGACAACGACCUCCGGCAAACUUGAACGGCGAAUCCAACAAACAGAACCUCGUUAGCAGCCACGAACAACCAUAUUAUCGUGUUUUCAAAUUCCGUCAAGCUACUACCGAAGAUUUCUUUACCCAGGAUAUGCGCGUGUGUGUGUGGGUAUAUUGGGGUGCGUCAAUGGAUGACGAGGUGAAGCAGCAGCAGCUAGUGGGUCUGCUGAUCGGUGAACUGCGGCUGAUGCAUUUGUUUCUGUCGGAUUUCCGGUGAGCUCGUUGGUGAGCUGGUUAUCGCGAAGGAGUCAUUUGUUAAGGGAGAUGGGGUGCUGAGUUUGACGUGAAGAAAGGCGAGGUAGUUGGUGGUUAGUUUAGGAGAUGGCUGCUGCGGGUGGUUGACGACGCAGCAGUUGGUUCAGUGAAGAAGACAAAGCACGACAGGGGCUGGUCGUGGGGGAUUAUUUUUGGUUGCUGAUGGGCGGGGGUUAUGGUGAUGCUAGGGUUUUUCCAUGUUAGUUCUUUAGGGUUUUUUAGUUGGAGAAGAUGAAGUCCUCUUCAUUGUGUCUAAGGUCUAAGGUGUAAGGAUCUGUCCAAACUCUCCGGGCCUCUUACGG
RNAcentral lists this long non-coding RNA (18732 nucleotides) under Nicotiana benthamiana. RNAcentral's name for it is "long non-coding RNA (NBEN_LNC003578)". The record is from RNAcentral. Lineage: Eukaryota; Viridiplantae; Streptophyta; Magnoliopsida; Solanales; Solanaceae.